RNAcentral lists this ribosomal RNA (433 nucleotides) under uncultured bacterium. RNAcentral's name for it is "partial 16S ribosomal RNA". It matches the Rfam family "Bacterial small subunit ribosomal RNA", at positions 29 to 507 of the family's 1533-position model. The record is from RNAcentral.
AACGAACGCUGGCGGCAGGCCUAACACAUGCAAGUCGAGCGAGGACUUCGGUCCUAGCGGCGGACGGGUGAGUAACGCGUGGGAACGUGCCCUUUGCUUCGGAAUCGCCCUGUGAAACUGGGCGUAAUACCGGAUGAGCCCUUUGGGGGAAAGAUUUAUCGGCGAAGGAUCGGCCCGCGUUGGAUUCGGUAGUUGGUGGGGUAAUGGCAUGCCAAGCCGAGGAUCCAUAGCUGGUUGGAGAGGAUGAUCAGCCACACUGGGACUGAGACACGGCCCAGACUCCGACGGGGAGGAGGAGUGGGGAAUCUUAGACAAUGGGGGAAACCCUGAUCUAGCCAUGCCGCGUGAGCGAUGAAGGGCUUAGGGUUGUAAAGCUCUUUCAGCUGGGAAGAUAAUGACGGUACCAGCAGAAGAAGCCCCGGCUAACUCCGUG